GUCUACGGCCAAGCCGCCCUGAACAAGCCCGACCUCUUCUGAUCGCAGAAGCUAAGCAGGGUCGGGCCUGGUUAGUACUUGGAUGGGAGACCACCCAGGAAGACCAGGUGCUAUAGGCG
This 119-nucleotide ribosomal RNA is filed under the name Pteropus alecto (black flying fox). The record is from RNAcentral. Lineage: Eukaryota; Metazoa; Chordata; Mammalia; Chiroptera; Pteropodidae.